Molecule: ribosomal RNA, 770 nt
Filed under: Pseudomonas fluorescens
Lineage: Bacteria; Pseudomonadati; Pseudomonadota; Gammaproteobacteria; Pseudomonadales; Pseudomonadaceae
Description: bacterial SSU rRNA
Rfam family: Bacterial small subunit ribosomal RNA
Source: RNAcentral
UGGCUCAGAUUGAACGCUGGCGGCAGGCCUAACACAUGCAAGUCGAGCGGAUGAAGGGAGCUUGCUCCUGGAUUCAGCGGCGGACGGGUGAGUAAUGCCUAGGAAUCUGCCUGGUAGUGGGGGAUAACGUCCGGAAACGGGCGCUAAUACCGCAUACGUCCUGAGGGAGAAAGUGGGGGAUCUUCGGACCUCACGCUAUCAGAUGAGCCUAGGUCGGAUUAGCUAGUUGGUGGGGUAAAGGCCUACCAAGGCGACGAUCCGUAACUGGUCUGAGAGGAUGAUCAGUCACACUGGAACUGAGACACGGUCCAGACUCCUACGGGAGGCAGCAGUGGGGAAUAUUGGACAAUGGGCGAAAGCCUGAUCCAGCCAUGCCGCGUGUGUGAAGAAGGUCUUCGGAUUGUAAAGCACUUUAAGUUGGGAGGAAGGGCAGUAAGUUAAUACCUUGCUGUUUUGACGUUACCAACAGAAUAAGCACCGGCUAACUUCGUGCCAGCAGCCGCGGUAAUACGAAGGGUGCAAGCGUUAAUCGGAAUUACUGGGCGUAAAGCGCGCGUAGGUGGUUCAGCAAGUUGGAUGUGAAAUCCCCGGGCUCAACCUGGGAACUGCAUCCAAAACUACUGAGCUAGAGUACGGUAGAGGGUGGUGGAAUUUCCUGUGUAGCGGUGAAAUGCGUAGAUAUAGGAAGGAACACCAGUGGCGAAGGCGACCACCUGGACUGAUACUGACACUGAGGUGCGAAAGCGUGGGGAGCAAACAGGAUUAGAUAC